This 504-nucleotide ribosomal RNA is filed under the name uncultured bacterium. RNAcentral's name for it is "bacterial SSU rRNA". It matches the Rfam family "Bacterial small subunit ribosomal RNA", at positions 15 to 507 of the family's 1533-position model. The record is from RNAcentral.
GAUCCUGGCUCAGGAUGAACGCUAGCUACAGGCUUAACACAUGCAAGUCGAGGGGAAACGAUAGAGAAAGCUUGCUUUUUCUAGGCGUCGACCGGCGCACGGGUGAGUAACGCGUAUCCAACCUGCCCAUCACUUGGGGAUAACCUUGCGAAAGUAAGACUAAUACCCAAUGACGUCUCUAGAAGACAUCUGAAAGAGAUUAAAGAUUUAUCGGUGAUGGAUGGGGAUGCGUCUGAUUAGCUUGUUGGCGGGGUAACGGCCCACCAAGGCGACGAUCAGUAGGGGUUCUGAGAGGAAGGUCCCCCACAUUGGAACUGAGACACGGUCCAAACUCCUACGGGAGGCAGCAGUGAGGAAUAUUGGUCAAUGGACGAGAGUCUGAACCAGCCAAGUAGCGUGCAGGAUGACGGCCCUAUGGGUUGUAAACUGCUUUUAUAAGGGAAUAAAGUGAGUCUCGUGAGGCUUUUGCAUGUACCUUAUGAAUAAGGACCGGCUAAUUCCGUG